GUGCCUCAGAGGGAGCCGGAUGCACGUCUCUUUAUAAAAUGAGGCAGCCGUAGUUCGAAAUUAGAGACGGGCCGAGAAAAACCCUAGCGCUCUCUCUCCAAGAAAGGGAAUCCGCGCACAAUCGAGAGGGAGGCCGGAAAGGAAACCCCUUUUCAUUUCUUGGCGUUAAAGAUGAAUCCUUUCGACGUCCGCUACGCCGAUCCGAGCUCCUACAGGGAGAGGCGAAGCGAUUUAAUGCGGCCGCCGCAGCUGAAUGGCGCGCUGGCGCCGUCGCCUGCUGUCUCUAUGGCAGGCGUGGGCCUUGGCGUAUCCUCUAUGGCCGGCCGCGGCGGAUCCGCGCCCUUCAUGCCCCCUCCUGGCCCGGAUUUUGCCGCCGGUAGAGGAGGCGGCAUCGGCGCUUCCAUGGGCGGUGGCAAUUUCGCCACUGGUUUGACGCCGUCCCAAUUUGCAUCUGGUGGAGGCGGCGGCGACUUUGGAGGCCGUGGUGGUGGGAGAAGAGGAUUCGAUGCUGGGAGAGGAGGCCGGGGAGGAGCAGGAGGAGGUAGGCUUUCUGGGGGUUACCGUGGUGGCAGGUCUGGAAGGGGACGAGGGUUUGAUUCGGCGAGGACAGGCGGAAGUGGAGAUGGCGGUGGAAGGGGAGGUGGGAGAGGCCAAGAUUUUGGUGGCCGUGGGGUUGGAAGGGGUAGGGGAUUCGAAGGUGGGCGUGGGGGUGGUGGUGGGAGGGGAUUCAAUGGUGGUCGUGGGGGUGGUCGGCUUGGCGGCAGCGGUGGUAGAGACUUUGGGAAGCCAAGGGAUGACCUUGACAAGCUUUCUCUUCCGAAACAGGAUUUUCGUGACCUCAACCCUUUCGAGAAGAACUUCUAUGUGGAGAGCCCUGCGGUGCAGGCCAUGUCCGAGCAGGAUGCCAUGCUUUAUCGGAAGAGCCGGGAGAUAACGGUUGAAGGUCGUGAUGUUCCCAAGCCCAUUAGGUUCUUUCAUGAGGCCAACUUCCCGGACAAUAUUCUACAGGCGAUAGCUAAAUGUGGUUUCAUUGAACCAACACCGAUUCAAGCUCAGGGGUGGCCAAUGGCUUUAAAAGGAAGAGAUUUAAUUGGCAUUGCAGAGACUGGUUCUGGAAAGACAUUAGCAUAUCUGCUGCCUGCAUUGGUGCAUGUUAGUGCACAGCCUCGAUUGGCUUAUGGUGAAGGUCCAAUUGUUUUGGUCCUAGCACCUACAAGAGAACUGGCUGUUCAGAUUCAAGAGGAAGCCAUGAAGUUUGGAUCACAUUCAAAUGCCAGAAGCACAUGCAUCUAUGGGGGAGCACCAAAAGGACCACAGAUUCGUGAUCUUAAAAGAGGAGUUGAAAUUGUCAUUGCAACACCUGGUCGGCUAAUUGAUAUGUUGGAAGCUUGCCAUACAAACCUACGUAGAGUAACAUACCUUGUACUGGAUGAGGCGGAUCGCAUGCUGGACAUGGGAUUUGAGCCUCAGAUAAGAAAAAUACUGUCCCAAAUUCGGCCUGACAGGCAGACACUAUAUUGGAGUGCCACAUGGCCAAGAGAAGUAGAAUCUUUGGCAAGGCAGUUUUUACAUAAUCCCUACAAGAUAAUCAUCGGAUCAACUGAUCUGAAAGCCAAUCAAUCGAUAAACCAAAUUGUAGAAGUCAUGUCAGAGAAUGAAAAAUACCCCAGGCUGGUAAAACUCUUGGGUGAAUUAAUGGAUGGGAGCCGGAUCUUGAUAUUUCUUGAGACAAAGAAGGGAUGUGAUCAGGUGACUCGGCAGCUCAGGAUGGAUGGAUGGCCUGCCCUAUCUAUUCAUGGAGAUAAAGCCCAAGCUGAAAGAGACUGGGUUCUGGCAGAGUUUAAAAGUGGCAAGAGUCCUAUUAUGACUGCCACUGAUGUAGCUGCACGUGGUCUUGGUAGGACCACUUUGUCUUAAGGCCUCUUAAAAAUCUCAAUUGUUAACUUCAAGUUCUCAAGGAUGACGAGUCGGCGGGCUGUUGGCCAGUUCUGAUAACUGAACUGAACUUGUGGUUUGGUGUGUGACAAGGUGCGAUCAUGCCAAAGAUGUGAAAGAUAUAAAGUGUGUGAUCAAUUAUGAUUUCCCAACGAGCCUUGAGGAUUAUGUUCACAGGAUUGGACGAACCGGUCGUGCAGGUGCCAAGGGCACUGCCUUAACCUUUUUCACUCAUGCAAAUGCAAGGUUUGCUAGGGAUCUUAUUAAGAUCCUGCAGGAAGCUGGCAAGAGCGUAACUCCAGCAUUGGCAUCCAUGGCUAGAUCGGCUGGUGGAAGUUCUGUGGGGAACUUCCGAUCAAGGGGCCGAGGCUAUGGCAAUCGUUCACUUAUAUCUGGGUCUAACACAGUUCCACUUGGAGGGAGAAGGGCUUGGUAAGUGCUUCUCAACAACUUGGAGGGAGAUUGAUAAGUGCAUCUUGACGAGGGACAGCUGAGAUGAUUGUUUGGAGGGAUUAAUGGUGCAAAGCACCAAAACAAACUGUAAGCUGAGAUGAUUGCUUUACGAUCAUUUCAUGAAAGAAUGGUUUUACUGCCCGAGAGUAUGGUUCACCAUUUACAAAUGUUCUGAUUUCCGAGUCCCAGAGGGAAUCUCUCAUGCCCAGGCGAGUCCGAUUCAUUCAUGACCAGAGGGCCUGCUCUUGAUUAGUAAAUUUGUUGUUAUAUGUUUUCCCUUUCUUUUCCUUCAGGUUGUUAUACCGCCUUCAAAAACCUUCAUACAACCAAUUUAGGCAGCAAUUAUUGCUUAGAUAGCUGCAGACUGUUUAAGCUUAUGUUGUACUCUGGAAGAUAAUUUUUGUAAAACAAAAUUGAGUAACGAGUUCUGGCAAUAAUUAUAUUAUAGGAAAAGAUUCGAAAUGUUUCAGAGUCA
Phoenix dactylifera (date palm) is the source of this 2863-nucleotide RNA transcript. It is a transcript of the gene named DEAD-box ATP-dependent RNA helicase 20-like, with no coding region annotated. NCBI's taxonomy places the organism in Eukaryota, Viridiplantae, Streptophyta, Magnoliopsida, Arecales, Arecaceae. The record is from RefSeq and is a predicted model, not a curated record.